AGUGAACGCUGGCGGUAGGCCUGACACAUGCAAGUCGAACGGCAGCACAGUAAGAGCUUGCUCUUACGGGUGGCGAGUGGCGGACGGGUGAGGAAUACAUCGGAAUCUACUUUUUCGUGGGGGAUAACGUAGGGAAACUUACGCUAAUACCGCAUACGACCUACGGGUGAAAGCAGGGGAUCUUCGGACCUUGCGCGAUUGAAUGAGCCGAUGUCGGAUUAGCUAGUUGGCGGGGUAAAGGCCCACCAAGGCGACGAUCCGUAGCUGGUCUGAGAGGAUGAUCAGCCACACUGGAACUGAGACACGGUCCAGACUCCUACGGGAGGCAGCAGUGGGGAAUAUUGGACAAUGGGCGCAAGCCUGAUCCAGCCAUACCGCGUGGGUGAAGAAGGCCUUCGGGUUGUAAAGCCCUUUUGUUGGGAAAGAAAAGCGGCAGGUUAAUACCCCGCUGUUCUGACGGUACCCAAAGAAUAAGCACCGGCUAACUUCGUG
This 492-nucleotide ribosomal RNA is filed under the name uncultured bacterium. RNAcentral's name for it is "partial 16S ribosomal RNA". It matches the Rfam family "Bacterial small subunit ribosomal RNA", at positions 29 to 507 of the family's 1533-position model. The record is from RNAcentral.